This 29-nucleotide non-coding RNA is filed under the name Cricetulus griseus (Chinese hamster). Lineage: Eukaryota; Metazoa; Chordata; Mammalia; Rodentia; Cricetidae. The record is from RNAcentral.
UUAAUUCUUAUGUGCUCACCCAGAACAGC